Molecule: ribosomal RNA, 255 nt
Filed under: uncultured bacterium
Lineage: Bacteria
Description: partial 16S ribosomal RNA
Rfam family: Bacterial small subunit ribosomal RNA
Source: RNAcentral
CACGUAGGGUGCGAGCGUUUGUCCGGAAUUAUUGGGCGUAAAGAGCUCGUAGGCGGUCCGUCACGUCGGGUGUGAAAUUCCAGGGCUCAACCCUGGACCUGCAUUCGAUACGGGGCGGACUAGAGUUCGGUAGGGGAGACUGGAAUUCCUGGUGUAGCGGUGAAAUGCGCAGAUAUCAGGAGGAACACCGGUGGCGAAGGCGGUUCUCUGGGCAUUACCUGACGCUGAGGAGCGAAAGUGUGGGGAGCGAACAGG